UACGUAGGGGGCUAGCGUUAUCCGGAUUCAUUGGGUUUAAAGGGUGCGUAGGCGGGCCUAUAAGUCAGUGGUGAAAGCCCUUCGCUUAACGAAGGAAUUGCCAUUGAUACUGUAGGUCUUGAGUAUAGUUGAGGUGGGCGGAAUGUGUCAUGUAGCGGUGAAAUGCUUAGAUAUGACACAGAACACCGAUUGCGAAGGCAGCUCGCUAAAACUAUAACUGACGCUGAGGCACGAAAGCGUGGGUAGCAAACAGG
Molecule: ribosomal RNA, 254 nt
Filed under: uncultured bacterium
Lineage: Bacteria
Description: partial 16S ribosomal RNA
Rfam family: Bacterial small subunit ribosomal RNA
Source: RNAcentral